AGGGAUGGGGCACCCACAGCUCUGGACAGCAGUGCCGGGGCCUCACCGCCCUCUGAGUGAAGAAUUUCUUCCCUUUAUUUAAUCUAAACCCACACUUCUUCAGUUUAAAGCCACUACCCCCUUGUCCUAUGCUUUUAUAAAAAGUUAAUCUGCUUUCAGAAGCCUCCUUUAAGUAUUGAAAGGCUGCAGUAGGGCCUCCCUGGAGACUACACACUGCAUAUUUUCACUGCAACUAACUAAGUGCUCUAACUCAGGGUAGGCUGGUAGCUGUUGCUGAAUAGCAAUGCUUCCUAGCUGUACAUGGCCCGGCUUUGGAUACGACGACCAUAGUGAGGCCUGGUGUGACAAUCUAGACACUGUGCAGUACCUCAUGUAACUCAGGGGUGACGUUUUGCAUCGAAAGGGGGGGGGAUCCCUUUGAUCUUCCUGAUGGUGUAACUUGUUUCCUUGCUUGGAUAACUUGUAGCUAUUUGAAUGAGAGUUUACUAGUUCAUGCUGCAGUCCUGAUUCUGAGGACUGUUUGCCCCUCAAAACAAAACAUAACCAAGUUUGAGUCCAUUGAGUGAGCUAGCAGUAAAAGAGCGUGCAGAUGUGUAGUAACUUCACACUAUUCUCUAUUCCUUCAAAACAGCAACAGAUAAGGAUGAAGGCAGAACUCUGGUGCAGUCCCCAGUUGUUGGGGCUCGUAGGGCAGUUAUAACUGUGCUUUUUCCAAUGGUAGUCAUCUUAAAACACGGAGUUCAGCUUUAUGAGUGCUAAGAAUCUGUGACUGCUGUGUUGAAAUGUUAGUCUGGGAGAAGAAUUUUCUGCCUUGACUUUGCUUCACUUGAAGCUCUAAGCGGUGACAAAAGCAUUUUGCAGUCAGGCAUAUUUCUCAGACUGAAGCCUUUCUGUGUGUCUGCUUUUUUCCAUCCAUUCCCGAGGGUGAGACUGAAGGCAGUGUUUUGCUUCCAGGCUUGUGGGGAGAUGAGACUUAUUUAGAAAUGAUUUGUGAUUCAGUGUAGUUGAUAGCUAUGUUUUUUGGACUUAUUCAGUCGCGACUGUGUUUCAUAUAAAGCUGUGUUCUCUAAACCAUUGGCAUGGAUUUCCUGGUGGAAAUUGUUACCCUGCAGCCCUCUGGAAGAUGUAUGUUCUUUAGCACAGGCACCUGAUGCCCAGUGAGGAGCUGGAAGAAGGAAAAAGCAGGAGGAGUAUAAGCAGGAAGAGAAUGGAAGGAGCAGGGAUGCUUUUGCGUUGGAGUGGUGCAUUGUGCAGGCAAGAAAUAUAUUUUUUAGUGAUUACCAAUUCACUUAUCUGGAUUCAGAAUGUGUGGGAAAAACUGCUUUUCCUGCACUUCUGUGUCUCAAAAGGCUCAAAUUCUUGUUGGUGAGGAAAGCUCCAGCUCUUGUUUCGCUCUUCUGAGAUGACCAGAUGGAGGUAGGACUGGCGACUUAUUUUUUUUCUUAAUCUUUGUGUUGCCUUCAACAACAAAUUAUGAAGGAGAAGAAUCUUUAAUUGGAAGGUCUGAGCUUCUUGUCUUUCUUUUUAAUGCCUAUUCAGAAACCCUUGCAUGUUGUCACUGGCCAUCAAGCUGGAUGUUGUGCAGUGAGUGGUAGAGAAAGAGAAAUAAUCUAUUAUAAUUGGACAGGAAGACAUUUUUUAUACUGUGAUUUACUGUUAUUAAUGUAUGCUCUUCACCUCUUAUUCAGUGCAGAGUACUAAAAAACAGUCUGUGUUGCAAUCAGAGCAGUGGUGGUUCUUUGAGGAGCUACCAUAUUGAUGGGUGAAUACAGCCUGCAGUAAUGACUUGGAUGGGUACAGAACUUCUUUUAAAGCCUGUAUGCUAUUACUGGUGAAAUAAGUGUCACAGAGCCCAGUUUUGUGCCUUAAAAUGAACUAACCUGCUCAGGGCUGGCCUUUGCAUACAGUUUCUGUGCUGUUUGCUAGUCAGGAGAUGCCAAGAGACAGCAGUGGUCCAGGAAUGAUUUAAGCCUGGUGAAUUUGUGAUGUACAAGUGAUGUAACCCACCUUGGCCCCUGGUCUGGGAGAUGUGAAUCCUGAAAAUGCACGAGAGGUGGAUUUCUCUGGGUGAAACGGUUGGACAGCACUUUUCUCUUAGCUUUUCAGAAGAAGUUUUGUGUUACGUCCACACGGUGGCAUUACUUUGUUAGUUUUGCAGAUUCUCACCGAAUCCUGCACCGGGGGCAGAGCAACUCCUCGACUGCAGGCUGGGGGCAGCACGGCAGCAAAGACCUUGUCUGUCCUGAUGGGUACAUCGCAUACGGCACAAAACUCUGUUGGGCGGCGUUAGCAAGAGCAGAGCCAGCGUGAUUCCCGUAGUGGUGCAUGAGAUGCAGAUGCUGCUGCUACACACAGAGGCUUGGUUGUCCUGAGGAUCACACAGUGCAGGGAGGUGCUGCUAACACAAGCCUGGCCCUCCCCAUUUUACAGAUAGGGUAUGUCUGUGGCCUUCUGUCACAAGCACGAGUAUUUUAGGAUUGUACUUCUGAGUCUUUGCGUACACUGCUUUUGAAGACUGAAGAACUUAUAGUACCAUUGAAACUCUUUGACCUGUUCCAUUCUUCUGCCGUUCUACACACUGCCUACUGAUAACCCUUAGAAAUGAGGAACUGGUAAAAGGAUGUGUGGUCUGAAUGUCCACUCUUGCAUCCUGUUUACUUUGCAACAACUACUUGUAUGAUGAAACUUACUCAUAUCCUUAGUGUUUUGAUGGGUUGUGGCCAUAGAGUGCAGAGUAUAUGUUUAUUAAACUAUAGAAAUAGUUAAAUUUUCAAACAAGUAACUUACAUACAUGAAAGUGCAUUAACUUUUUAAUCUCAGUCCCAGUGAGUUUCAUUUCAGAAGUUCGAUUCUCCCACGCUUUCUUGCACUGAGUAAUAUCUUGCUAAAUGAGUAAUCUAAUUCUUCUUAUGUCUCUUUCCAUAAUACCAACAUCAUUAUUUACUGUCACAAACUAGAUUGGAAAAUAGCUUUGAACCUAGUGAAAAAUAAAGUUAGAAACCUGGGCUGGUCUUCUGGAGGAGUGCUGUUUGGAGGCACAUUAUUGUGGUAUGGUAAAAAAAAAUAGAGCCGAGAGUAUAUUCAGUGUGCAAAUGUUCAUGGACUUCUCACAGAUGUUAAAGAGUCAGCUCCAGCACUUUCUUCAUAAUAUUCCAUAUUCAGCCAAGUUAAUUAAACUCAGGGUUGCUCUACAAGUCUUCACUUCUCUGAGAAUGAGAGAACUUGGUCUUGGUUAAAUGUAGUUUCAUGUGUUACUACUUACAGAGGGAGUUUUAGAUAGCUGCUCUCGGUAAUAUUUUGACAAGAAUGCAGGACCUUUGUAAUGCAGUAAUUGCCUGGAGUAAGGAAAUUCCAUAGGAAAAUGCUUCAUUCAUGUGAGUUCAUAUCAGCACUACUCAACGCAAGCAUCUGUAAGUCCAGAAAAUGUCUUUGAAAUCUUCCUGCAUUAGUUUGGGCCUCGCCCAUCCAAUGAGUGCACUGUCUUAAUGAGACCAAGAACAGGAAUCUAUUGUAAAGCGAAUGAGCGGGACUUUAAUUAUUUACAGUCACAAGUCUCCCACAGUGUUUAUUCCAUGCACGUUCAUAGUAUUGAGUCUGCGUUGUUUCAGAUCUCUCCUACUGACGUUGCCCCUUCUGUGCUGGUACUACUGAUGUGGAUACAGCAGUGACUUGUGCACUUAUGUCCACCUUCAUGCUAACAGAUCUUCCAUUUGCUGCUGUAGUUCUGUCUGUCUCUCCUGAAGAGGUCAGCUGAGCUCAUGAUGCUAUCCCUUCCUUGCUGAUGGUGUUUGUAAUCUAUUGUAAAAUGAUGUAAUUUCUGUUUCUUUCAUCUGUUCCUUAGUUCCAGGUAUUGUCUCCAGUGGGGCUUUACAGUGCAAACAGAACUUAUAUGCAGAAGGUGUGACUUUGGACUUCAUCUGAAGCUUCCAUAGUGUUAAUUUCACAGGUACUGUCUUCUGCCCAAGUCAAAUGAUAACUUUCAUAAUGAGUGCUUCAGAAAUGAGACCACCUCUUAAUGUUCUUAGUGGCAUACAUCACUUGCACAUGGAAACUAGUUCUAACUUCAACAUUUGUUCUCUGUAUUUUCUUGAGAAUGUCAGUUCUUGCAAGGCUUUUAACUUUAUUCCUCCGCUCCGAAUAUUUUCAUAGUUUGCUUAACUCAUGCUACCAUCUGUUGUUCAGUAACUGCUCGGAGCCAAGAGGGCUGAUGGAGAUCUGAGUUCUCUUAGAUCAGCACUUGGCACUGUGGGUUUUUUCACAACCCAACAAGCAGUUCCAACAGCUGCAUGUAUGAAUCACUGAAGUUAUAGUACCCUGCAGCACACUGUAAGAAUGGGUUUUGGCAAUCUGGUCAGAUGCCACACAAGUGAAAGUGCUAUGAACUGAGCUUCUCGUAAGGUGUGACAUAAAUUUAAGGUACCUAUUUCAAUCCUUAUUUUAAUAAGUGGUUUGUCAUCAUUCAGAAUGCUUUUGAAAUACCUCAAUUCCAUAUAAUAAUUUACCAUUAAUUAAAAAAAAUACUCAGUAGGCUGGGAGGAUGGUUGUUAGUUAUAGAAAACUAUCCCGACACGCUCCCUGCGUUAUUUCCUAUUACUGAGAGAUAGUUUGCCCCAGCAGAACUGCUCUUCACAUGCUCUCGUGUCAGUCUAUAUUUAAACCUGUCUCCAGCAGUAUUUUAUUUCAGUUGUUUCAAUCGGGUCAGCUUAGCUGUGGAUACACUCUUGAUUAUGUUAUAUGUUUAUUGAGAGACUCGUUAUCCUUUACUGCUCUUCUGCAAACACUACAAAACCUCAUUUCAGUGAGAGCUGAGCAAGCGAGCAACACUUCUUAAAGUUCUUGUUCAAUAGGAGAGUGUGGGCUCCUUGUUGGUUUCAGAGCAGCUCACUGAGUGCACAAACCCAAAGCCCAAAGCAUUGUGUUUCCUGCUGGUGUCAAUGAGCCCGGUGUCACGGAGCAAACAGAGCUGUGCUGCUGAGGAUCUGGUCCUGCAUGGAAGUUGUUACGCGUUGGUGUUGUCAGUGUUUAAUGAUAACCAUUGCUUUGGCUCCGUGUUUCACAUAAAGCCAUUUACAGAAGAAUUUAUGGAGUCCAUAUGUUUGUAUUUCACUUAGCUGCCUAAAUAAGGUGCGUGUGGUGGGACGAUAUAUACAAUAUUUUGUCUUGAUUUUUAUUUUGAAGCUGCGUUUGCAGACUGGCUGGAGCCAAGCAGGGUAACUGAAGGAUCGGACCGUAUCACCCAGGAAUAGGGUGCUGAAUCUUCCCUUCCCUCUGCAGGCAAUUUCCACAGAACUGCCUGGCAGGACUUCCCGAAGUUCCUCUUAGAAACUGAGAUCAGUGGGUACCCAGGGGAUAAUGAGGGAGGGGUGCCAAAGACAGCCUCAGUCAUGCAGCAGAAGUAGGAUGGGAAAGGACAUGAUUAAGUCUUGUGCUCCGGGAGUUUACGUUUUUAUAUAUUUAUUUACUGAGUCUAGCUGCAGGCCUUUCACAGUGCUGGAAGAGCAGAUUAAAGCAGGAUGUGCAGGCUGCAGCCUGACACGGUGAACUUGAGCGCGCUGUAGAAGGUUGGUGUUCGUUUCCCACAAUGACAGGGGUUCUUAGGAGUUUAUGAAAUUUUUAAAGAAUUAAAGAGAAUGAAUUUCAGCCAACUUCUCAUCAGGGAUUUAACUGCAGGUAGGAUAGGUGAAACUCUGUAGUUUGUACCACAGAUAACUCAGCUAAAGGAUGCAGAAGUGUUCUUUUUUGCUUUCCCCGGAUGUUUUACAUUUAACAUCACUCAACUUAGGGAACUCUUACUCUGGAAUAGAAUCAGAUGCCAAGCAGUGAGGAAUGACCAGAUUUCCUAUAAAGCAACAAACACUUCUAAGUCUGUUAAAGAAAAGGAAUGAAUGACAAAAGGUGCGGUUACCUCCUCUUCUUGCCCUAGUGAUUUCUAGUUGUGCUUAUGCAGCAGAAUUGAUAUUGAGAAUAUGAAAAGGAAUAGCAAAUGACUUGAAAACUCAAGGGGAGAUGUAAUCUUUGCUUUGGUUGUGCCAGCAGGGCAUGCCAAAAUGCAUCAUAGACAGCAUUUUACAGUAAACUUCUAUCUUCAAAGUUUCUAGAGUGAUCCUAUGGGUUUGGGCAGGUGACAGAAUUCAGCUCAUUCCGUUUCCACAUUAAGAAACUGCAGUAUCCAAAUCAGAUUCAGUCCAUGUCUGAAACGAAAUACAGUAUUGUCUUGAAUAUUGUGCAUCUUGUAGCAAAGUUAAGUCACCAUACCCAGACAAGCAGCAGAGACAGCAGCCUACAGUCAGAGCCUUCUUCCAUUCCAUGCGCUGUGCCAGUGUUAGUAAAAGAAGGAAUAUCUGACAGGCUUUACCAGAACUCCUUUCACUCAUUAAAUCCACACUUGUCUGAGAUGAAGGCACUAGAUCUAGCAGCUUCUUUAUACCAUUUACAACUGAGCUUAGCUGUAUACAGGGUUCCUGAAGUCUCUGCAGUGACCUGAAGGUCAGACCAGUGCCCAAGAAAAAUUACUUAAAUUGACAUAGUAUUUCUUACUUUACACACCUUCUGUAAGGGACAGCGGGAGGUCUGAAACAGGCUAAGAAGGCAUAAGAAAGACUGAGUGAAGACGGGGAAAAAGAGGAGGAAGAAAACCAUUGCUUCUUGUAUGCUGCAAAGAGAUGGGAAGGAGGAAGGGAUUGUAAGGAAAACAUCAAAAGACAAAAUGGAGAGUACUGGUACUCAGAUAAACCUAACUUAAAAGUAGGCAAAGGGGGAGAGGGGACAGGAUAGAGAAAACUGGUCUCAGUGUGGUGGGGAAGUGAGAGCCCACCUCCGUGUGCCAGCUUUUUUCUGUUCCCAAGAGCGAUGUGCUCUGCAGAAGACAGACAGAUGGCAUUUCCAUUGCCUGUGCUCCUGUGGGGGAUUUUUCCAGAUGGGGAGUUGGAAGCUUCUUUGUGCUGUUACAGCCUUCCUCUCUAGCAGCUCUCGACCGCUCAGGGCCUCCACCAGUCUGCGUGCUCAGAUCCUGUGCUCCUUAUACACGCGCACACACACGUCAUGCUGCUGCAUGAAUUUCAGCUGAACCUGUUUGAAAAAUGGGUCCGUUUGUAUCUAGGGUGUUCUUCACACUUGAAAAGUAUCCUUGUUGCCUUUUCUUCUUAUGACAUGCACCUGUGUUUUGUCACAACGAAGAGAUUGCUAACAAAAACUGAAUUACUACCACUGAUCUUAAGGAAAAGCUGACAGGACUGUUUUUCACAGAGGAACCACAGACACCAUCGCCUCCAUCACCCAUUAACUUCAGCAGUGUCAGUGCUUUCCUACCUCUGACAAACAGGGAGAACAGAAAUGACAGGUUUCUCAAAAUUACCUGAAAAAAAUAACAACCGUGGGGUGACCGAGGAAGCAGGAGAAAUCCAAGGAAGCCAUUCUAAAUAAGAAGCUGUCACCCUUGAUCUGCUCUCCCUUAACAGCUGAGCAAAUGAACACAGAAAGUAGAACUUUGGAAAGGUAAUGUGAUUUCAUGUUUUACAAUCAACUACAGGGAGAGACUAAGUGUGAUCCCUUUAUCUUAGCUAUACAUUACAUUUCUGAACAUCUCACCUGCGUACAUAAGUACAUUUUUUGGUUUGUUUUUAUACUUCCCUUCCUCUGCAACUUUCCAUUUGCAGCAACUGACCUUGCUCUUUCCACUCCAUUUUCUUUCAGUUUCCUUUUGUACUCCUUACUGGAUUGUCACCAGAUAUUACGGUCUUCCUGGUUAGUUUCCUUUCCCCAGGAACAGCAGAAGGAGGAAAAAUUGUAGCAGAUUAAAAUAUAUGGAAAGUCAAAUACGUGCAGCAAACAUCUUCCUUAAAAAUAGCAUCACCCUGAUUUCAUUAUUUAAAUUCAUGACGUGGUUUCUGUUCUGAUCUUUCUGCACAUCCAGACAUUCUUUAAAAUCAGCUUAGCAAAUACAUUAGAAAAGUUUGCUGUUGUUUAAAGAAAAAAAAAGCCAUUCAAACACAUUCAGGCCUGGAGAUAGGAAAAUGUGCAGGGCAAAUGACGAAACACACAAGGUGUGGGAUUUGUGCUACUGGGAGCAUCUCAAAGCAAGGAAGGUGGUAGGUCACACAGCUAUUAAGAAAGCAAGUUUACAGGUCUUGUAAGUCUUGAAAUUCAUACCAGAGAGAGAAAACUGCAUGAUCCUCUCUCUUUGAGCACCUAAGCACAGCAUUAAACAGAACUGGCUGAGCCCAUCCAGCACAGCGCUCGUGCUCCAAGCACAGUCAGCAAGAGCAGGGUGCUCAGAGCGCCGCUGUCCACUUGGUCACACCUCAAAGGAUGGUGACUCUACAGCCUCUCUGAGCAACCCAUCACCACCUUCACAGUGACAAAGAUUUUUAUUACAUCCAAGCAGAUUUUCUCCUAUUUCAAAGACACAAUAAUGCAAAGAGAUGGCGAUGGUGGAGAGUCCAUAAAAAAGAUCACAACAUCGGUGGUAGGACUGCAUCUCAUCGGGCUCUGUGAUUAAUUUUCACUCUUGUACUCAAAAUGAUUUUUGUCUCUUCUGGGGCGUGAAUAUUUAACUUAAAAAACGUGUAGAAUCGUAACGACCAACAGAAUCCAGGAAACACAACAGGAGCAGUCUGGGCAGUCAUCUUCCUGAAACAAACUUAGAGACCCAAGGAAGAUGCAAAAUACAACAGGUGUGGCAAUAGGAUUGGGGACAUGAAUGAAAAACUGCGAAAAAAUCAUACCAAUGGAAUGACUGGGCUUACAUUUAAUACAGCAAGGUGCUGAUAAAGUCCAUUUCUAGGGAAGCUGAUGCUGAGCUGUAGCACAGACCCUUCUGUGAGGGAAAAAGCAAGAACUGAGCUGAGAGCGCACUGAAAAGCUGCAGAGGUAAGCGGUGCCAUCACAUACAAAGCCUUUCAUCUGGUCCCCAAGGGAGGGCCCACCGUGUGCACAACACCGCGAUGGGGACCAGCAGUAAAUAACUACCCAAAUAAAGAAAAAGGAGAGGGAAAAGGCAUGCAGGGACUACUGUAAUGAAGUGGCUUUGUUUAAAAUGAUUUCAAACACAGAGCAACCAGUCAUCACCUGAUUAGAAUGCGACAUAUGUUCCAUUAGACAGAACUACGAAACGUCUGUACACUCAGCUGCAUUUGGGAUAAUAAGCUCUCAUUUGCUAUAGGCACUGUAUGUUCUUUUCGUUUUACUUCUAUUGGCAAUUAACCUCCCUGUUAUUAAGAAAAUGGAGCUCAAAGUGGAAGACAAACACACUCAUUUGCAACGCUGAAGAAACAAGAUCCUUUCACAUAUGCUCAUUUCUUCAAAUGUGUUUUUACCUCCAAAGCUCUUUAAGAUACAGCGAAGCAAAUCAAACCUUCCUCCAAUCUUACUGAUUCCCAAACUUCUCAGGCAGAAACCCCCACAGCUCUCACAGGCUCUUCGUGUUAGCAAGCUCUGCACCUCCAGCUGCUUGGGGCUUACAUUCCCACUGCAGAUGGUGACCUCCAUCCUAAGUAAGUCCUGCUGCUGGAGGUAAAAUCUGGAAACUUCAAACAAUCAAGGAAAGUUUUCACCUCCCAUCUAAAAAAAAAAUAGUUGGAAAACUGGGAGCAAAUCCAAACAGUACUACUUUGGGCCUGCAUGAGAGCAGCACAGCAGCUGGAGUGCACAUGGAGCUCCUGGAAAGAUGAUGAUGUAGAAAGAAAACUGAAGAAGCAGCACUUUGCUUUGUUGUGAGAGGCGAAAGGUCAGUUUAGCAUUCAAAGCUCUGCACAGAAAGCACAGCGGUCUUCUCCCAGUUUAGAGAAAGAACAGUCUGCCAAGCCUGAUGGGACUGUAACGAAUGGUUACUUCUCAGAACAUACAGUGGGAUUUGCAGGAUCACCUGGCUUUGGCCAAAGUCUCUUAGCCCCAACUAGCACAAGCAGCAGCACAUGUUCUGAGCAGCAUUCAGCUGACCAUAUCCCUGGACUGCAGUUAGCAGCACAGAGAAAUGCUGCUUACUUACACGCUGUUGCAAAUGUAAGUUUUACUCCUGAUUCCUCCCAACCUGAGUUUACAGCCAGGUUCUUGGGCUGCAGCACAAACCAGUGAGCAAUGUUCUGUAUUCAGCAUGCACCAUCUUCACCUUGAAAUGGGACCCCAUCAUACUGAGCUAUGCCAGCACUUCGGGGAUAAGGACCUGGAACCAGACAAAAAUAAGCAGCAGGGAGAAAGAAGAUGGCACAGCUCAGCCAGGAUACCUGACAGGACAUCACAGCAAGCACAGCUUUAAGCAUGAGAUCAGGGAAGCAGUAAUUCAGAAGAUGUCUGGAAGCAUUCCUCCCAUGUACAAAAAUGAAGGCAAAAAAAGCUGCACAGAAAAAAGAGCUAGAAGACACUCGAUCAGUAUUUCAAGCAGUAGUAGAGAAAAGGCAUCAGGGAACACAGGAACAACCUGCAACAUGGACCAGUGGCCUGGCCAACAGCAUACUAUACACAGUAUAAGAACACACACCGAAAAAGAAAUUAAGUGUCAGAUCAAUGGGAUUGUAAGAUCUUUGCUGCAAUGCGUAACAGAAGAACAUGAUGGCAUUUGUCAGUGCCAGAGGGAAGAACGAGGAGGUCCUGACAGUUUUACAAGUUCUGUUUGUAUGUUUUCAACACAAGCUAAGUGAAUGCACGGGAUUUAAGCAGUUUCCGCAUAUAAUGUAUGAAAGCAGUGAGAUAAACAGGGCAGCUCACAGACUUGUGCCACGGAAAGACAACAGAAUGGCAUCAGCUUCUUCUUGUUUUCUCUGCUAAAUCAAAAUUUAAAGAACAUACUCUCUAUCUGCAGGUAGGCUGCAGGUGAGUAUUCAGUCAAGACAACAGGUUUUGAAAAAACCACAGGUGAAAUGAGAACUCACAUCCAGAAGACCCCGUGCUGAGGUUGUGGCCCUCAGUUCACUGUUGCCAGCAGUGCUAUGAUUACCAGACUGACAGACAUUUUGCCCUCUUAAUUCCAUCUUAGAUAUGGAAGUUAAAACAAAAAUCCAAUAGGAACAACUGGCAGAAAAAUACUGUCCUCAGGCAGUGCCUCAACAGACCAACCUGAUCCUCAUCUGUUCCUGCAUUUGGAAAAACGGAUUUUCCUUGGGGCAGAUCGUGGUAACCUUUGCUCACUUGCGUUGUCUAUAUUUGGCUGCACGAAGUAUGUUAGUUCUGAUCUUGUCAGGGCUUGUAGACUUGCAGAAGAGUUCUCUGGACUUCAUCCCUGAGCUUGCUGCAAAUUCAGAUGAAGGUUUAGAAGCAAAGGAAAAAGUUAAGAGAUGGGCAAUCCAGCAUCGAUUUAAGGUAUACUCUACAGACAAAUCCUCCUUUCACUUUCCAUCUUUGCAUAAAACAUGCAGUAAAUUCUACUGAGAAUUACAGCCUAUUCCUCGAACCAAAAGAACGCUUUGGACAUUUGAAGGCUUACUACGGUUGCAACUUCUGCACUUAGUUUGAAGCAAAUGACAGAUAUUCUCGGAUGUUCUUGCCCUUUUCUCUGCAUUCUCGUUUGAAAAAGGACAUUCCAGCCUUGUGUAACUGACUCCCAGCAGUGAUUAAUACCAGUCCCUAGAAAAGAAACAGUGUUGUAUGUCGUGUUGAGCACUUCCACAGCAGGGCGUAUUUCACUUCACAGAACUUUACCAGAACUGCCCUUACAUUACAAUCAGCACAGAGACGUAACAACUAAGGAGGGACAGAAAAGCUAAAUUCCCCUCACCGACUCUCGAAACAGGAGCAACUGUUACAUCUGUACAGAUUCAGAAGGCUCCUACUGCAAUAAAUAAGAACCUAACGUGUUAAAGCAAGUUUUAUUUAAGUAAUUGGAGGGAAACUUCCAUACGGUAAGUAAAAAUACUAGAGUUGAAAGUUGUUAAAAUAAAAAAAAAGAUGAUGGUUCUCUGUGCAAACGCAGCAGGCUCUGAUGGAAAGGGGAAGCAAAGGGGCUCAUAAUAUACUCCUUUUCAAACCAAAAUCAAAUGCGAGCUAAUGGUGGUACAUGGCGUCGUUUUUUAUACAGUCAAGAGAACAAAAAAACCCAAAAAAAGCAAUUUAAGAGAACGCAACCUACCAUGGAAUAAAUUCAUUCGCAGGAGAGACAGAAUAAGACUGCUUUUAUGAAAAUUACAAAGAAACUGAUACAACAAAAAUGGGGUGCGGGGAAUUUUUCCACUAAGGUUAAAAAAUGAAGAAACAAAAAAAAAAAUUCACUUUUUGAACACCAUUAUUAUUCAAACACAUAUGAAGUUCCAACCUAGUUUUUUUCUUAUACAUGGGAAACACUGUUAAAGUGAAUCUUCAAGAGUGAGAAGGCACCGUCAACUGUCAGCUGAUACCUUUAAUGCACACUCAAGAAAGAGGAAAUGAUCUGGCAUGAUGCAAAAAAUCAUUAAGUGUUUAUAUAUAGUCAUAUAUCUUUCCAUAAAAAAAAAAAAAAGCGGCAACAAGUCAUUACUUCAGUGCCAAAAUGGACGUCUGUCUGGAUAACUCGCUCGUUCAGAUGGUUUCUCAUGUAGACCUGUACGGUAUUUUUAUACAGUGGUGAAAGUGGGUGAUUCUGUGUUGUUGCAGUUCGUAUUAGUUGGUAAAUUAAGCAUUUUCUAUGUUCUGAGAAGCCAAUCCUAUGGAGUAUUCCUAAACUACACAAAUGGAAUAAUUAAAUGCAUCCUGAACGGAAUACUCAUCUGUACUAUGUAGCAAUGGACCAGAUUCCACUGGAUUCGGUUUGAUAUGUAAUGUCUUGUAGCAGAUGUUAUAACAAAAAUAACUUUUGCUUUUUGAUUUACCUCACUGAGGCCAUUAAUGCUGUUCCUAUAGUUGGUUUUCUGGAGCUGGAUGACACUUCAACUGCUGUCCAAAAUGAGUUUGAACCUUAAUCCUCCAGAGUUUGUUCACUUUGUUGCUUCUAUUAUUGCACUAACUACUAAAGUCUUAUAUCUUCCUAUAUAAAUCUAAUUGUUCAGAGUGCAGAUUCUAUAUUUAGACAAUGAACUGUAUGAAAUAAAUAAAACGAGGGGAUUUUCUGGUCAGAGUUGCUGAUAUGUUGAAUACCUUAAUUAAUUCUAAAGUAAACAGUUUUGGUGCAUAUUCUUAAAAACCUAUGGUCGUUCAGCAUAAGAGCCUUGACGUAAUACUUUAAGAAUGGAUUUGUUUUCCUUCUCAAAAAUGCAUCAAAGAAUUGUUUUAAAUACAGAAUCUGUGAGGCUUCCUACAAAUUCAUCUAAAUCGUAAUACAAACACAGUUUGUAAUUCAGAUAAUAUAGAAAGUUCUCUAGUGUCCAUUGAAGUAAGGUCCCCAAAAUGCAGUCUGUUUUGUUUCUGAAUGGGAAAACACUGCAAAACAUUAAGCGGUUCCACUGGCUGAAUAGGAGAACUGAGGAAAAUGAGGUCUUCUCUCAUUGUCUACACAAUCCAUGCUGUCAUCUUGGUCAGGAGGAGUGAUUGUAAUCAUCUGUGCUGUAAAUUCUUCAUCAAAGUAUCUUGUAUCUGUUUCAGAUGUAACUUGUGGCUUAAAUGGAGGUACAAGCUUUUUCUCGUAUACAUCUUGCCAAACAAUGCCAGCAAAGAAUUUGUGCUGCAUAAUCUCCUUGGCAUCAUCAGGACCGCCUCCUAACCUUUGCUUAGGAUCUUUCUUCAGCAAACCUGACAAGAGAGAUUUUGCUUCAGGUGACAAAGUGCGUGGAAAUCUAAUCUCUUCCAUAAGGAUGAGUUCAAAGAGCUUUUCAUGGUCCUGAUUGUAGAAAGGGAGCCGGCCACACAUCAUUUCAUACAUCACAACUCCUAAUCCCCACCAGUCCACUGCACGACCAUAGUCAUUAUCCUCCAGCACCUCUGGUGCAAGAUACUCUGGAGUGCCACAGAAAGUCUUCAUUGUUGCUCCAUCUUUUAUGCCUUCUUUACAUAGUCCAAAGUCUGUAAUUUUUAUGUGCCCGUCUUUAUCCAGCAUAAGAUUUUCCAGCUUCAAAUCUCU
This 13957-nucleotide long non-coding RNA is filed under the name Gallus gallus (chicken). Lineage: Eukaryota; Metazoa; Chordata; Aves; Galliformes; Phasianidae. The record is from RNAcentral.